This 203-nucleotide ribosomal RNA is filed under the name uncultured bacterium. Its description in RNAcentral is "partial 16S ribosomal RNA". It matches the Rfam family "Bacterial small subunit ribosomal RNA", at positions 1300 to 1500 of the family's 1533-position model. The record is from RNAcentral.
GUAGGCUGCAACUCGCCUACAUGAAGUCGGAAUCGCUAGUAAUCGCGGAUCAGCAUGCCGCGGUGAAUACGUUCCCGGGCCUUGUACACACCGCCCGUCACACCAUGAGAGUUGGCAAUACCCAACGUACGUGAUCUAACCCGCAAGGGAGGAAGCGUCCUAAGGUAGGGUCAGCGAUUGGGGUGAAGUCGUAACAAGGUAUC